This 422-nucleotide ribosomal RNA is filed under the name uncultured bacterium. Its description in RNAcentral is "bacterial SSU rRNA". It matches the Rfam family "Bacterial small subunit ribosomal RNA", at positions 30 to 459 of the family's 1533-position model. The record is from RNAcentral.
AUUGAACGCUGGCGGCAUGCCUUACACAUGCAAGUCGAACGGCAGCGGACCUUCGGGUGCCGGCGAGUGGCGAACGGGUGAGUAAUGCAUCGGAACGUGCCAUUGAGUGGGGGAUAACGUAGCGAAAGUUACGCUAAUACCGCAUAUUCUGUGAGCAGGAAAGCAGGGGACCGCAAGGCCUUGCGCUCUUUGAGCGGCCGAUGUCAGAUUAGCUAGUUGGUGAGGUAAAGGCUUACCAAGGCGACGAUCUGUAGCGGGUCUGAGAGGAUGAUCCGCCACACUGGAACUGAGACACGGUCCAGACUCCUACGGGAGGCAGCAGUGGGGAAUUUUGGACAAUGGGCGCAAGCCUGAUCCAGCCAUGCCGCGUGAGUGAAGAAGGCCUGGUGUAAGCUCUUCGGUCCGGGAACGGAAAUACGCAU